RNAcentral lists this ribosomal RNA (497 nucleotides) under uncultured bacterium. RNAcentral describes it as "partial 16S ribosomal RNA". It matches the Rfam family "Bacterial small subunit ribosomal RNA", at positions 28 to 507 of the family's 1533-position model. The record is from RNAcentral.
GAUGAACGCUGGCGGCGUGCCUAAUACAUGCAAGUCGAGCGAACGGACGAGAAGCUUGCUUCUCUGAUGUUAGCGGCGGACGGGUGAGUAACACGUGGAUAACCUACCUAUAAGACUGGGAUAACUUCGGGAAACCGGAGCUAAUACCGGAUAAUAUUUUGAACCGCAUGGUUCAAAAGUGAAAGACGGUCUUGCUGUCACUUAUAGAUGGAUCCGCGCUGCAUUAGCUAGUUGGUAAGGUAACGGCUUACCAAGGCAACGAUGCAUAGCCGACCUGAGAGGGUGAUCGGCCACACUGGAACUGAGACACGGUCCAGACUCCUACGGGAGGCAGCAGUAGGGAAUCUUCCGCAAUGGGCGAAAGCCUGACGGAGCAACGCCGCGUGAGUGAUGAAGGUCUUCGGAUCGUAAAACUCUGUUAUUAGGGAAGAACAUAUGUGUAAGUAACUGUGCACAUCUUGACGGUGCCUAAUCAGAAAGCCACGGCUAACUACGUG